RNAcentral lists this ribosomal RNA (446 nucleotides) under uncultured bacterium. RNAcentral's name for it is "partial 16S ribosomal RNA". It matches the Rfam family "Bacterial small subunit ribosomal RNA", at positions 338 to 795 of the family's 1533-position model. The record is from RNAcentral.
CCUACGGGUGGCUGCAGUCGAGAAUCAUUCACAAUGGGGGAAACCCUGAUGGUGCGACGCCGCGUGGGGGAAUGAAGGUCUUCGGAUUGUAAACCCCUGUCAUGUGGGGGCAAAUUAAAAAGAUAGUACCACAAGAGGAAGAGACGGCUAACUCUGUGCCAGCAGCCGCGGUAAUACAGAGGUCUCAAGCGUUGUUCGGAAUCACUGGGCGUAAGGCGUGCGUAGGCUGUUUCGUAAGUCGUGUGUGAAAGGCGCGGGCUCAACCCGCGGACGGCACAUGAUACUGGGAGACUAGAGUAAUGGAGGGGGAACCGGAAUUCUCGGUGUAGCAGUGAAAUGCGUAGAUAUCGAGAGGAACACUCGUGGCGAAGGCGGGUUCCUGGACAUUAACUGACGCUGAGGCACGAAGGCCAGGGGAGCGAAAGGGAUUAGAUACCCGUGUAGUC